This 397-nucleotide ribosomal RNA is filed under the name Alopoglossus copii (drab shade lizard). RNAcentral describes it as "partial small subunit ribosomal RNA". It matches the Rfam family "Bacterial small subunit ribosomal RNA", at positions 875 to 1410 of the family's 1533-position model. Lineage: Eukaryota; Metazoa; Chordata; Lepidosauria; Squamata; Alopoglossidae. The record is from RNAcentral.
CAUGACAACCAACCCACCCCCUUUGUCCGCCAGAAGAUUACGGGCGAAAGCCUAAAACUCAAAAGACUUGACGGUGUUCCACCCUGCCUAGAGGAGCCUGUUCCAUAAUCGAUAACCCACGCUUAACCCAACCACCCAUUGAAAAAUCAGCCUAUAUACCGCCGUCACCAGCUUAUCUUCUGAAAGACAUAACAUAAGCUAAAUAGUAAAAUACUAAAAAGUCAGGUCAAGGUGUAGCCUAUGGGGUGGAGGUAAUGGGCUACAUUAUCUAUAAAAGAUCCCACGAAUUUUAUCUUGAUAAAGACAGAUAAAGAAGGAUUUAGCAGUAAGCUAGACAAGAAAACCUAACUAAACCCAGCCAUGGAACAUGUACACACCGCCCGUCCCCCUCCUCAAA